Molecule: long non-coding RNA, 369 nt
Filed under: Gossypium barbadense (sea-island cotton)
Lineage: Eukaryota; Viridiplantae; Streptophyta; Magnoliopsida; Malvales; Malvaceae
Description: long non-coding RNA (GBAR_LNC010836)
Source: RNAcentral
AGAAGUGAUUAGUUAAAGGAAUUUCUAAGUUAGGUUUAAAUAGGGACUAAGUUGAAUAGAGCUCAAAAUUUAUGUUUUAUAAUGAAUUUUAUGAGUUAGAAAUCGUUAAUGAGUUGAUUAAAAGAGAAUAUGAAGCUUAAGUUAAAGAAAAAAAGAUUAGUAAUGGAAAAAGGACGAAAUUGGAAUUUUUGUAAAAGUUUGGUAGAAAGUGAAAAUGUGUUUUAUGAAUUAAUAUAUUGAUGAUUUUUAAUUGUAUGAUUGUUAGUAGCAAAUGUAGCACCGGAUACGUCAUCAAAGAAGGGAAAAGAGAAAGUGAACGAAGAUAUCGAUUAAAUUCGAUAAAUAGUGGUUUGUAUUUCUAUAAACCGA